AACGAACGCUGGCGGCAUGCCUAAUACAUGCAAGUCGAACGAGAUCUUCGGAUCUAGUGGCGCACGGGUGCGUAACGCGUGGGAAUCUGCCCUUGGGUUCGGAAUAACAGUUAGAAAUGACUGCUAAUACCGGAUGAUGACGAAAGUCCAAAGAUUUAUCGCCCAAGGAGGAGCCCGCGUAGGAUUAGCUAGUUGGUGAGGUAAAGGCUCACCAAGGCUACGAUCCUUAGCUGGUCUGAGAGGAUGAUCAGCCACACUGGGACUGAGACACGGCCCAGACUCCUACGGGAGGCAGCAGUAGGGAAUGUUGGACAAUGGGCGAAAGCCUGAUCCAGCAAUGCCGCGUGAGCGAUGAAGGCCUUAGGGUUGUAAAGCUCUUUUACCCGGGAUGAUAAUGACAGUACCGGGAGAAUAAGCCCCGGCUAACUCCGUGCCAGCAGCCGCCGUAA
RNAcentral lists this ribosomal RNA (449 nucleotides) under uncultured bacterium. RNAcentral describes it as "partial 16S ribosomal RNA". It matches the Rfam family "Bacterial small subunit ribosomal RNA", at positions 29 to 523 of the family's 1533-position model. The record is from RNAcentral.